This 507-nucleotide ribosomal RNA is filed under the name uncultured bacterium. RNAcentral's name for it is "partial 16S ribosomal RNA". The record is from RNAcentral.
GGAGUUAUCCGGUGCUUCUUCUGUGAGUGAUGUCCUUCCUGCCGGCUAUUAACCCGCAGGCCUUCUUCCUCACUGAAAGUGCUUUACAACCCGAAGGCCUUCUUCACACACGCGGCAUGGCUGGAUCAGGGUUGCCCCCAUUGUCCAAUAUUCCCCACUGCUGCCUCCCGUAGGAGUCUGGGCCGUGUCUCAGUCCCAGUGUGGCUGAUCAUCCUCUCAGACCAGCUACGGAUCGUCGCCUUGGUGAGCCGUUACCUCACCAACCAGCUAAUCCGACAUAGGCUCAUCCGAUAGCGCGAGGCCCGAAGGUCCCCCGCUUUCCCCCGUAGGGCGUAUGCGGUAUUAGCCUGGGUUUCCCCAGGUUAUCCCCCACUACCGGGCAGAUUCCUAUGCAUUACUCACCCGUCCGCCGCUCGCCACCAGGGAGCAAGCUCCCCGUGCUGCCGCUCGACUUGCAUGUGUUAGGCCUGCCGCCAGCGUUCAAUCUGAGCCAGAAUCAAACUCUGA